This 67-nucleotide transfer RNA is filed under the name Podura aquatica (water springtail). RNAcentral describes it as "tRNA-Gln". Lineage: Eukaryota; Metazoa; Arthropoda; Collembola; Poduromorpha; Poduridae. The record is from RNAcentral.
UAUAAAGUGGUGUAAGGCACGUUAGAUUUUGAAGCUAGAGGUGGUAGGACAGAACUAUUUUUUAUAA